GAGCCCCGCCCCAGUCACCGCCCCGGGGCUGUCUCGGGCGGUUAGGUCCGGCGUGAGCUUUUCUUUUAACUGGUGCGCCCACCAUGACGAUCACCUACAGCUGUAUUGCUAAUGGCCGAGCGGUCCUAGCGGAGCUGGCCCUGACCGGCGGCUCCUAUCAGGAAGCAGCAGCAACAGUGCUUCGACUGGUGCUUCUAAGAGCUGAGCCCAAGACCAUCAUGCAGAUGGGAAGCUUUGUCUACCAUACUCUCUUUAUCAAUGGAAUCACUUACCUAUGUGCCACAGACAAUGCCUUGGAUACUUUAACACCAUCUUCAUUUCUUAAAAAUGUUAGUGACACUUUUCUGAGAAAUCCUUUGAUGUCGCAAGAACAUUUUUCUCCUUCAAAUGCAGUUGCUGCAGAUUUUCAACAAGUAUUAGGGAAGUAUAUGAUGAAAUACAAUAAAAAUCAAGGUGAUAGCUCGAUGUCUACACUCAAGAGCCAAGUAACUGAUGUAAAAAAUAUUAUGUCCAAAAAUAUUGAUGAAAUUUUGGGAAGUGAAGAAAGAUUGAAUAUCUUCACUGAUAGAACCGAUGAUCUCCAAACAACCGCCGAAGAGUCCCAAAAAACAAGAAAGAUUCUUAGGAGGAUAUGGUGGAAACACUUCAGAAAGAUUAUAGUCAUCACCGUGGUAAUUCUCCUUUCAAUCAUCAUCAUUCUUUUAAGUACAAAUGUAAUACCAACCUGACCCUCUUUCUCCACAACCCCAGAAGUUACCAAUAAAUUGUUGUGUGUAAAUAGAGGUUCUACAAUCAACAACUAUGAAAGCAUUUUCCAGUGAUAGGAAGACUGGAGGGAGAAGGGUUUGGAAGUUUCUUCUUGUCCUUUUAGUAUGUUUUAUUGACUCUUGUAUCUCUUCCAUUUCGGUAAUGCCACCGGUUUUUUCCCACUGCUCCAGCUACUUUCCCAGCCUCUUCCCUUUAAAAAGCACAAACCCCGGAAUCAGACCACUGAAGUUUAACUCUCCACCACAAACCAUCAGGUGACUUUGAAUAAGUUAUUUAAUCCAUGCCUGUUUCCUCAUCUGUAAACAGGAGCUAGUAAUAAUACUAUGUAGAAUUAUGUCUACCACAUAGUAAAUGCUAUUUAAGUGUUAACUAUUACUUAAUAGGAAAAAUGAUUACAUUUUUGGCAUUAAAUCCCUGUUACCUUACUCCUUACUCAGAAGGAAAAUGACUGUGACCUCAUCAUUAAUUCCCUUAGAAAUAAAAGUUUGGAGUGCCUGGGUAGCUCAGUUGGUUGUGUUGAUUCUUGAUUUUGGCUCAGGUCAUGAUCCUGGGGUUGUGGGAUCGAGCCCAUCGUACUCUGCCCUGAGCAAGGAAUCUGCUUAAGACUCUGUCUCUCCCUCUCUUUGCCCUUCCCCUGCUCUAAAACUAAGUUAAAUCAAAAUAAAAUAAAGAUAAAUAAACAUAAAUUAGUCUUGACUACACAGUCCAGAAAUAAACAUUCACCUCUUCUACAGAUUAUUUCUUUUGAAAUGACUAUUCAAACCAUUGUUUUAUAUUAGACAUUGCCUUGGGUAAAGAUUUUAAAAUUAGGAAGUUGUAUUGGAUCUCUAAUAAAUCACAGGUCCUGUUCUAUUUUACCACCCCAACAGCCUUUUUUCCCCCCACAUUUCACUCAAUAACCUCAAAUCACUAAGAUACCUAAUAACCAAAACAUCCAGCUUCAUCUGCAGUUGGUAACAAGGUUUCAGGAAUUAUAUUUCCUAAGUGGAAACUGAGGUCUAAAGUAGUUUUAAAAAUCACCUAGUUGGGCACCUGGUUGGCUCAGUUGGCUAAGUAUCCAGUUUCAGCUCAGGUCAUGAUCUCAGUCUGUAGGUUUGAGCCCCGCAUCGGGCUCUGUGCUGACAGCUCAGAGCCUGGAGCCUGCUUCAGAUUCUACAUCUCCUCUCUCUACCCCUACUCCACUCGCGCUCGCUCUCUCUCUCUCUCUCUCUCUCUCUCUCUCUCUCUCUCUCUCUCUCUCAAAAGUAAAUAAACAUUUUUUAAAAAUCACUUAGUGAUCCAUGGGGAAGAGUAAAAACAGGCAUUCCUAUCUGCUACAUAACUCACUUUAGUUCUAAUAAUGAUCAAGUAUCAGCAUUUUAAAUAGACACCAAGCUUGCUAUUCCUCCAGCACAAUAUCACCUUUCUAUGCACAAAAUAUUUUUAAAGGAUUUUAAAUGUUAGCAACUUCAGAGUUUGUAAUUUAUAUCCAGGAAAAAAUAGGUGAUCUAUUGAAUAUAUACUCUGAUAUAAUGCACUAAGUGCUUUGGAGAAGUGUCUCAUUAAUUUUACAAUGACAUAGAGGUAAAAACUAUUUAGAAAGUAAGGCACAUAGAGGAGUGGCUGGCACAUACAUAAGUGCUGCGUAAAUGUUUGUUCAUAUUAUCUUUAUUUUGCAGAUAAGAAAAUAGCCAAGUUAAAGGAUAUACUCAAGGUCACACAGCUAGAAAGCUAAGAUUCUACUAAUUUAAAGUCCUGGCUGUUGUAUAUAUGAAAUCUGUAUUUUUAACUCGGAGUAUAUUAUCUGCCCCCUUAACUGUGGGCCAGAUAAGACGCACGAGUAGUUUUGCUUUUCGUAGGUUGGUAGGUUGUUUUGAGGAGGGGAGACGGGAAUUUAAAGAGGAGUAUUAUGAGAAGAGACUAUUUUGCUCUUAGUUUUAAAGCCUAUAUGAUGUCUCCUAAGAUUUUUGUAACAUAAUUACGUAUAAAACGAUGUAUUUGUUUCCUGAUUGCCAGUGAAUACUAGCAUAUGUAUUGCUGGAAAACAUUUACUUACAGAUCACCUAAGCUACCCCCUCCCCAGUUUUACAUGGUAGGAUGCCAAGACCCAGGAGCCUAAAAUUGAAGAACAUCUUGUGACAAGCUCCUCUCCACUUGCAGGACAAAUAAGACACAGGCUGUCACCCUGGUCCCAGGCGAGAAGUCCCACAUAACGCUGGUUUUCCCAGCAGUCUUAGAGCUUAAGAGUUAGGAAGAAAAGCCCUUGUUUAGUAAGGAGUGUUCAUCUGCUAUUUAUGCUACAUCUGGGUAGAAAAUACCUGAGUAGACAGAAACAAAUAUUAAGGCAAUCUUAUUGAUUUAUGCAUUCACACAUUUUUGAGCUCCUACUCUGCACCAACAUAGUUCUAAAACAUUAGGAAAUAUUGUAAAUUACCACACAAAUAGAGAUAAUGGAUGUUUGAGAAAUUAGUGGCUAUAUAUAGAAGUGUAAGAAAUGGUCCUAAUCCCAAUGAAGCUUACAUUCCAGUUGAGGCAGCAAGACCAAUAAAAAUCAUAAGCACAUGAAAACAACAUCUACUUAAGUGGCACACUGUGCACCAGAGAAUAAAUUCAAUAAAGAUAAUGAUGAACAUCAGCUUCAGUCACUGAGGGAGAUUUUGUGGGUUAUAAAUGGGGCUGGUAAUUGGAUAUUAGAAACUGAAUUUAUCUUGGGGUGCCUGGUGGCUCAGUCGGUUAAGUAUCCAAUUCCUGAUCUUAACUCAGGCCCUUGAUAUCUGGGUUGUGAGAUCAAGGUUGGAUUCCAUGCUGGGCGAGAUGCCUACUUAAAAAAAAAUUAUCUCAAUAGGUCAAGGCAGUCAACAGUAACAGUUAAGUAUUGAACACUUACUAUGUGCCAGUAGCUGUUUAAGUACUUUAGAGAUUCUUUUUUAAUCCUCACAACCCUGGCGUAGGGACUAUUAUUUCCAUUUUACAGAUAAGAAAACUGAAGGACAAGCUAGGUCACUUGCCAGACUCCCCCAGGCUAGGGGUAGGAACGAGGAUCAGCAAGACACGCUUGCUGUGGGAGGUGCAGAAGGUGGAGUAGGCCCUGGAGUCCGUCCUGCACUCAUUCAUCAGAUGGCCUUCAACAGUGCUCAGCCUUUGGCUCCCACACUCUCUAGGGUGCUCUUGUUUACUCCCAUGACAUUGCCUUCUCCAGCAAGUAACCUCUUCUGAAUUCCAAACCAUUUUCCAACCCUCUACUGGAUACACCCACUUGGAUAACAUGCAAACACCUUAAAUUUUAAAUCCCAAAAACAGCUAUGUAUUCUUCCCUCAUUCUCCACAAAAAUGCUUCCUUGACCUUAUUUCUUAUCUAUAAAGGCUUUCACACUAUUCUGUAAUCCUGAACUUUUUUAACCAACUUUCUGCUCAUCUCAAAUUACUCACCAAACUCAAGGGACUCCUACACCAAAUCUGAAGGUUCAUAGCCAGGGAAGCCCAGAGUUACAGAAGCAGAAGUGGGAAGUCCUAGUAGAUGCCCAGGCAAACUUUGAAAAGGGCACUCAUCCCAUCUUGGUAGAUAGCUAUGUCUAUCUACUCCACACAAGCCUGGCCACAGUAUACUCUUCAUAUUCAGACGGCUCAGCACAUAUUAAGCGUUAACAUUUGAUACCUUUUCAUGUGUGAGAUUUCCAUAGCUCUUAAACAUGGUCAUAGCAAUAAAUAUGAAGCUUUGGUUUUCAACUCUAAUCAGACUCAGAGGAUAUUAAUAGUACAGAUGCCU
RNAcentral lists this long non-coding RNA (4513 nucleotides) under Suricata suricatta (meerkat). RNAcentral's name for it is "lncRNA (ENSSSUG00005017697.1)". Lineage: Eukaryota; Metazoa; Chordata; Mammalia; Carnivora; Herpestidae. The record is from RNAcentral.